This 238-nucleotide long non-coding RNA is filed under the name Elaeis guineensis (African oil palm). RNAcentral's name for it is "long non-coding RNA (EGUI_LNC037384)". The record is from RNAcentral. Lineage: Eukaryota; Viridiplantae; Streptophyta; Magnoliopsida; Arecales; Arecaceae.
GGGUGCUACUACAUGCCUAAGGUUAAUAGGUCCACUAUCAUUAGUCUACCAAAGCUUCAAAAUGAUCUAAUAUUCUACCCAUCACUCUUUAUUGAUGAAUUGUAGUGGAGGUAGAAUAAGAGCAGUGAGCCUAGGACUUAGAUGCGGACAUAACUGAUUGCAGUAGAAAUGUGAAAGGAUCCACUAGAAUUAAUCCAAAAAAAGAUGAGGACAUAGAAAUAGCCAAAGGUCAAUUGAG